GGGGGCGAUUUGGGCUCGACCGGGCAAGUUGAGGUCGUGGCCGCGUGCCCAGGUUGUCAGGUGGCCUGGUUAAAAACCUGACAAAACUAUUAAUUGCCAAUGGUUAUCCAUUAGCAAUGGCUGCCUAAAAAGGCGGCCCGUUCCUUCGGUGAUGCCUGCUAGCCGAUUGGGACGUCGACAGCAGGCCCGCCCGCGUGGGUAGGCGACGUGACACGCGGGUCAGAAAACCACGCCGCUGGGUCGUUUGGAGCCUGUCGCUGGGCGUCUAGCGGCCGAGAUCAAAACGGCAGACUACGCACGUAGAAACCACGGUCGAAGUGUCACGGGACGGGGGUUCGAUUCCCCCCGCCUCCAUUC
This 357-nucleotide transfer-messenger RNA is filed under the name Phycisphaerae. RNAcentral describes it as "GCA-020346805 sp020346805 Standard tmRNA". It matches the Rfam family "transfer-messenger RNA". From Rfam's summary of the family: Bacterial tmRNA, also known as 10Sa RNA or SsrA, is named for its dual tRNA and mRNA-like properties. The record is from RNAcentral. RNAcentral also lists the same sequence under 1 other name. Lineage: Bacteria; Pseudomonadati; Planctomycetota.